Molecule: ribosomal RNA, 912 nt
Filed under: Triticum aestivum (bread wheat)
Lineage: Eukaryota; Viridiplantae; Streptophyta; Magnoliopsida; Poales; Poaceae
Description: partial small subunit ribosomal RNA
Source: RNAcentral
AUGACGGCGGGUCAGCCCCUCCGCGCCGACCCCCAGCAGCGCCGCCACAGCCCGCCGGCCCUCCACCCCGCCGUGGUGCCGUCCUACCCGCCCCCGGAGUCCGGCAACGACGAGUCCUGGGUCUGGUCCCAGAUCAAGGCCGAGGCGCGCCGCGACGCCGACGCCGAGCCGGCGCUCGCGUCCUUCCUCUACGCCACCGUGCUCUCCCACCCCUCGCUCGAGCGCUCCCUCUCCUUCCACCUCGCCAACAAGCUCUGCUCCUCCACCCUCCUCUCCACGCUCCUCUACGACCUCUUCGUCGGCUCCCUCGCCGCGCACCCCACCAUCCGCGCCGCCGCCGUCGCCGACCUCCUCGCCGUGCGCUCCCGGGACCCCGCCUGCGCCGGCUUCUCCCACUGCCUCCUCAACUACAAGGGCUUCCUCGCCGUCCAGGCCCACCGCGUCGCGCACGUCCUCUGGGCGCAGAACCGCCGCGCCCUCGCGCUCGCGCUCCAGUCCCGGGUCGCCGAGGUCUUCGCCGUCGACAUCCACCCGGCCGCCGCCAUCGGAAAGGGCGUCCUCCUGGACCACGCCACCGGCGUGGUCAUCGGCGAGACGGCCGUCGUCGGCGACAACGUCUCCAUCCUCCACCACGUCACGCUGGGCGGGACCGGCAAGGCGGUGGGCGACCGGCACCCCAAGAUCGGGGACGGCGUUCUGAUUGGCGCCGGGGCGACGAUCCUGGGCAACGUGUUGAUUGGCGCCGGGGCCAAGAUCGGUGCCGGGUCGGUGGUGCUCAUCGAUGUGCCGCCGAGGAGCACCGCGGUGGGGAACCCCGCGAGGCUGAUCGGCGGGAAGAAGGGGGACGACAUGCCUGGGGAGUCCAUGGACCAUACCUCCUUCAUACAGCAGUGGUCAGACUACACCAUUUGA